This 870-nucleotide ribosomal RNA is filed under the name Vibrio harveyi. RNAcentral describes it as "bacterial SSU rRNA". The record is from RNAcentral. Lineage: Bacteria; Pseudomonadati; Pseudomonadota; Gammaproteobacteria; Vibrionales; Vibrionaceae.
AUAACGGCGUCGAGCGGCGGACGGGUGAGUAAUGCCUAGGAAAUUGCCCUGRUGUGGGGGAUAACCAUUGGAAACGAUGGCUAAUACCGCAUAAUACCUACGGGUCAAAGAGGGGGACCUUCGGGCCUCUCGCGUCAGGAUAUGCCUAGGUGGGAUUAGCUAGUUGGUGAGGUAAUGGCUCACCAAGGCGACGAUCCCUAGCUGGUCUGAGAGGAUGAUCAGCCACACUGGAACUGAGACACGGUCCAGACUCCUACGGGAGGCAGCAGUGGGGAAUAUUGCACAAUGGGCGCAAGCCUGAUGCAGCCAUGCCGCGUGUGUGAAGAAGGCCUUCGGGUUGUAAAGCACUUUCAGUCGUGAGGAAGGUAGUGUAGUUAAUAGCUGCAUUAUUUGACGUUAGCGACAGAAGAAGCACCGGCUAACUCCGUGCCAGCAGCCGCGGUAAUACGGAGGGUGCGAGCGUUAAUCGGAAUUACUGGGCGUAAAGCGCAUGCAGGUGGUUUGUUAAGUCAGAUGUGAAAGCCCGGGGCUCAACCUCGGAAUAGCAUUUGAAACUGGCAGACUAGAGUACUGUAGAGGGGGGUAGAAUUUCAGGUGUAGCGGUGAAAUGCGUAGAGAUCUGAAGGAAUACCGGUGGCGAAGGCGGCCCCCUGGACAGAUACUGACACUCAGAUGCGAAAGCGUGGGGAGCAAACAGGAUUAGAUACCCUGGUAGUCCACGCCGUAAACGAUGUCUACUUGGAGGUUGUGGCCUUGAGCCGUGGCUUUCGGAGCUAACGCGUUAAGUAGACCGCCUGGGGAGUACGGUCGCAAGAUUAAAACUCAAAUGAAUUGACGGGGGCCCGCACAAGCGGUGGAGCAUGUGGUUUA